This 253-nucleotide ribosomal RNA is filed under the name uncultured bacterium. Its description in RNAcentral is "partial 16S ribosomal RNA". It matches the Rfam family "Bacterial small subunit ribosomal RNA", at positions 524 to 776 of the family's 1533-position model. The record is from RNAcentral.
UACAGAGGUCCCGAGCGUUGUUCGGAUUCACUGGGCGUAAAGGGUGCGUAGGUGGCGAGGUAAGUCGGAUGUGAAAGCUCGGAGCUCAACUCCGAAAUGGCAUUGGAAACUACCUUGCUCGAGGGUUGGAGGGGGGACUGGAAUACUUGGUGUAGCAGUGAAAUGCGUAGAUAUCAAGUGGAACACCAGUGGCGAAGGCGAGUCCCUGGACAACUCCUGACACUGAGGCACGAAAGCUAGGGGAGUAAACAGG